UACAGAGGUCUCAAGCGUUGUUCGGAUUCAUUGGGCGUAAAGGGUGUGUAGGUGGCGCGCUAAGUCGGGUGUGAAAUUUCGGAGCUUAACUCCGAAACUGCAUUCGAUACUGGCGUGCUUGAGGACUGGAGAGGAGACUGGAAUUCAUGGUGUAGCAGUGAAAUGCGUAGAGAUCAUGAGGAAGACCAGUGGCGAAGGCGGGUCUCUGGACAGUUCCUGACACUGAGCCACGAAGGCCAGGGGAGCAAACGGG
RNAcentral lists this ribosomal RNA (253 nucleotides) under uncultured bacterium. RNAcentral describes it as "partial 16S ribosomal RNA". It matches the Rfam family "Bacterial small subunit ribosomal RNA", at positions 524 to 776 of the family's 1533-position model. The record is from RNAcentral.